Molecule: ribosomal RNA, 253 nt
Filed under: uncultured bacterium
Lineage: Bacteria
Description: partial 16S ribosomal RNA
Rfam family: Bacterial small subunit ribosomal RNA
Source: RNAcentral
UACGGAGGGUGCAAGCGUUAUCCGGAUUCACUGGGUUUAAAGGGUGCGUAGGCUGGCAGGUAAGUCCGUGGUGAAAUCUCUGAGCUUAACUCAGAAACUGCCAUGGAUACUAUUUGUCUUGAAUAUUGUGGAGGUAAGCGGAAUAUGUCAUGUAGCGGUGAAAUGCUUAGAUAUGACAUAGAACACCAAUUGCGAAGGCAGCUUACUACACAGUUAUUGACGCUGAGGCACGAAAGCGUGGGGAUCAAACAGG